CCUCCCCUCUUUGUCCUAUCCUAGAUGGACACAUCUGUCACUUUUAAGUCCCUAUUGCUCAUCUGUCACGGUCCACAACCAAGAAGAGACAAGGGAAGGGGCCAGAUGAAUGUUCUGCCACCAAGAGGAAGACUUUGACAUUUAAAAAAUUCUCCAUCUCUCUCCAAGUGUCCCAUCCCCAACUCAGAAAUAAUAAUAAUGAAAAAUCCAUGAAGAGGACAUUAAUAUGUUGCAGAUGAAGACACUGAGGCUUGGAGAACUUAAAUUGCCCAAAGAGCUUCUCACACCUGACUCUCAAGACCCUUGAAAGCCUGGUCUCCAUCUGCUUCUGCAAUCUCAUCUCCCAGUGGUGCCCUCCUAGAAUCCUCCAUGGCAGUUGCCAUGGACUCCCAGGUUGAAGGUCACAUAACCUUAGCAUGCCCAGAUAAACCAAGUAUGCAACCACACGGGGAACCUAAGUGCUCAGACCAAGGAGCAGGAACUGAAUUAAGACACGGACACCACAUGGCAGAAUCCAAGAUCCAAUCAGAUCGAGCUCUGGAAUCACCCCAUGGUGGAAGCCAGUCAGAUCAUUCCUCUUGGCAUCACCUCAUUGCAAGAUCCAAUCAGAUCACGUCUCAUUACCCUAUCCUUAUAAAACCGGACAGACCUCAGCUCAGGAAGGCACUGCUUUGGGAGCUAUCACCCCUAUUUUCCUUAAUUACUUCAAGUAA
Molecule: long non-coding RNA, 713 nt
Filed under: Homo sapiens (human)
Lineage: Eukaryota; Metazoa; Chordata; Mammalia; Primates; Hominidae
Description: HSALNT0370860
Source: RNAcentral